Molecule: ribosomal RNA, 253 nt
Filed under: uncultured bacterium
Lineage: Bacteria
Description: partial 16S ribosomal RNA
Rfam family: Bacterial small subunit ribosomal RNA
Source: RNAcentral
GACAGAGGUGCCGAGCGUUAGGCGGAAUCACUGGGCUUAAAGCGUGUGUAGGCGGCGGCGUAAGUACCUUGUGAAAUCCCACGGCUCAACCGUGGAACUGCUCGGUAUACUGCGUCGCCUGAGCCAGCUAGGGGCGACCGGAACAAACGGUGGAGCGGUGAAAUGCGUAGAUAUCGUUUGGAACGCCGAUGGUGAAAACAGGUCGCUGGGGCUGUGCUGACGCUGAGACACGAAAGCCAGGGGAGCGAACGGG